RNAcentral lists this small nucleolar RNA (48 nucleotides) under Pyrobaculum aerophilum str. IM2. Its description in RNAcentral is "PAEsR11". The record is from RNAcentral. Lineage: Archaea; Thermoproteati; Thermoproteota; Thermoprotei; Thermoproteales; Thermoproteaceae.
GUGAUGAAAAACGGCUUAUGAUCUGUGAAUAGUCCUAAACCAGGCUGA